Non-coding RNA from Podarcis lilfordi (Lilford's wall lizard), 75 nucleotides. NCBI's taxonomy places the organism in Eukaryota, Metazoa, Chordata, Lepidosauria, Squamata, Lacertidae. The record is from the annotation of a GenBank genome assembly.
GGAAGGGCCAUAGCUCAGUGGAAAAAUAUUUGGAUUGAACACAAAAGUUCCUGGGUUCAAUCCCCGUCUUCUCCA